RNAcentral lists this ribosomal RNA (468 nucleotides) under uncultured bacterium. Its description in RNAcentral is "partial 16S ribosomal RNA". It matches the Rfam family "Bacterial small subunit ribosomal RNA", at positions 28 to 507 of the family's 1533-position model. The record is from RNAcentral.
GACGAACGCUGGCGGCGUGCUUAACACAUGCAAGUCGAACGGAAAGGCCCUGCUUUUGUGGGGUGCUUGAGUGGCGAACGGGUGAGUAACACGUGAGUAACCUGCCCUCGACUUUGGGAUAACUUCAGGAAACUGGGGCUAAUACCGGAUAUGAGCUCCUGCUCCAUUGUGGGGGUUGGAAAGUUUCGGUGGUUGGGGAUGGGCUGCUGGCUUAUGAGCUUGUUGGUGGGGUAGUGGUUUACCAAGGCUUUGACGGGUAGUCGGCCUGGGAGGGUGACCAGCCACAUUGGGACUGGGAUACGGCCCAGACUCCUACGGGAGGCAGCAGUGGGGAAUAUUGCACAAUGGGCGGGAGCCUGAUGCAGCGACGCCGCGUGCGGGAUGACGGCCUUCGGGUUGUAAACCGCUUUCGCCUGUGACGAAGCGUGAGUGACGGUAAUGGGUAAAGAAGCACCGGCUAACUACGUG